Molecule: ribosomal RNA, 1161 nt
Filed under: Sagittirhynchus aculeatus
Lineage: Eukaryota; Metazoa; Platyhelminthes; Cestoda; Trypanorhyncha; Gilquiniidae
Description: partial 28S ribosomal RNA
Rfam family: Eukaryotic large subunit ribosomal RNA
Source: RNAcentral
UUUUGCUGUUAGGCAAUGUGGUGUUUGGGUCGGCUCGUGGGAUUGCCACUCCACUCGAAGUCCAACAUUGAGUAUGGUUCCUGGAUUUGACCCAGAGAGGGUGAAAGGCCCGUACGAGUGGAUGUUUCAGACAUGAAAGGCAAUUCACCAGGCCGGCCUUAGAGUCGGGUUGUUUGAGAAUGCAGCCCAAAGUGGGUGGUAAACUCCAUCCAAGGCUAAAUACUAGCACGAGUCCGAUAGCGAACAAGUACCGUGAGGGAAAGUUGAAAAGUACUUUGAAGAGAGAGUAAACAGUACGUGAAACCGCAUAGAGGUAAACGGGUGGCGUCAAGCUGCAAGCCUAGAGGAUUCAGUCGGUCAGGAUGUUGUGUAUGCGCCUGGCGCAUCUAUCAGUCGGUGUUAGAUUGGGUAGUCCGCCGGGAAACGGUGGGCCCAGCCGCAAGGUUGGGAUUUGCGUACCGGGUGGUUGCCGGAGCAUGCUGCCUAUCUGUUGGACUGCCUGGCCGAUGCACUUCCUCUGUUAAGGUGAACACCACGACCGGUGGUACUGCCAGUCUGUUGUAGCCAAGUUGUGCUCAGUCGGCAUUUAUGUUGCCUGGGUGCAAUCACAGGCAAAGUCAGUGAACGGUGUUCGGGCCUUCGGGCCUGUUCAUGUUAUCGGGCACUGCUUGUCAACGGGUCGGUCUGUCGAUUGUUGUUGCAGUCGUCGGCAGAUGGCCUGGUGGGCUAUUGUGGUAAUAAUAACUGUGCAGGGCACCGGAGUUCUCGGUCCCCAAUCCAGCUCGCAUCCACGCUGCAAGUGGUGUGGGGUGUCAUUGCGGCCUGCCUGUGGUUGGGUCUGAUUGCCGUGUCGCCUACGCAAAGUGGGCCCGGUAGUGGCCUGACUCGGGUUGGAGUCGUGGAUGGCAUUCCAUGUGUGAGUUCGGUGUGGGCCUAACAGUCAGUGGUGUAGUGGUAGACGAGCUACCCGACCCGUCUUGAAACACGGACCAAGGAGUUUAACAUGCACGCAAGUCAUGGGGUCUUACGAAACCCAAAGGCGCAGUGAAAGUGAAGUCUCGACUUGUUCUCGGGAUGUGGUGAGAUCCUGCCGUUUCUCGCAUCUGUACUUGUGCAUUGUGUCAGCACCAGGCAAAGAGCGGCAGGCGCAUCACCGGCCCG